This 76-nucleotide transfer RNA is filed under the name Dehalococcoidia bacterium. RNAcentral's name for it is "tRNA-Arg". It matches the Rfam family "tRNA". From Rfam's summary of the family: Transfer RNA (tRNA) molecules are approximately 80 nucleotides in length. Their secondary structure includes four short double-helical elements and three loops (D, anti-codon, and T loops). RNAcentral also lists the same sequence under 1 other name. The record is from RNAcentral. Lineage: Bacteria; Bacillati; Chloroflexota; Dehalococcoidia.
GUCCCUGUAGCUCAGUGGAUAGAGCGACUGCCUUCUAAGCAGUGGGUCGUGGGUUCGAAUCCCUCCAGGGACGCCA